Molecule: ribosomal RNA, 877 nt
Filed under: uncultured Acidobacteriota bacterium
Lineage: Bacteria; Pseudomonadati; Acidobacteriota
Description: bacterial SSU rRNA
Rfam family: Bacterial small subunit ribosomal RNA
Source: RNAcentral
UGCAGUCGAACGCGAAGACCCAGCAAUGGGUUGGUAGCGUGGCAAACGGGUGAGUAACACGUGGGCGACCUACCUCCGAGUGGGGGAUAACCUUCCGAAAGGGAGGCUAAUACCGCAUGACAUCCCCUGUUUAGAUACAGGGACAUCAAAGCCGGGGAUCGCAAGACCUGGCGCUUGGAGAGGGGCCCGCGUCCGAUUAGCUAGUUGGUGAGGUAACGGCCCACCAAGGCUUCGAUCGGUAUCCGGCCUGAGAGGGCGGACGGACACACUGGAACUGAGACACGGUCCAGACUCCUACGGGAGGCAGCAGUGGGGAAUUGUUCGCAAUGGACGCAAGUCUGACGACGCAACGCCGCGUGGAGGAUGAAGACCUUCGGGUCGUAAACUCCUUUCGACCGAGAUGAAGAGGCGCCCAUCCAAUACAUGGGCGCAUUGACAGUAUCGAGGGAAGCAGCCCCGGCUAACUCCGUGCCAGCAGCCGCGGUAAUACGGGGGGGGCAAGCGUUGUUCGGAAUUACUGGGCGUAAAGGGUUUGUAGGUGGCUGGCUAAGCCACACGUGAAAUCCCUCAGCUUAACUGGGGAACUGCGUGUGGGACUGGCGAGCUUGAGGGCAGGAGAGGAACGCGGAAUUCCAGGUGUAGCGGUGAAAUGCGUAGAUAUCUGGAGGAACACCGGUGGCGAAGGCGGCGUUCUGGACUGCAUCUGACACUGAGAAACGAAAGCCAGGGGAGCAAACGGGAUUAGAUACCCCGGUAGUCCUGCCCUAAACGAUGAAUGCUUGGUGUGAUGGGUAUCGAUCCCCGUCGUGCCGGAUUAACGCGUUAAGCAUUCCGCCUGGGGAGUACGGUCGCAAGGCUGAAACUCAAAGGAAUUGAC